GUUGAAGCGGGUCCGGAGCGGCGGAUCAUCCGCGGGAUCCGGAUCGGGAUCAGGAGAGGGUCCUCGCCCCCUCGGGCGGGGAGCCGGGGGAGGGGGGACGGAUCAUUCUCUGCCAAGCGAGACCGACAAGAACCAUGCGUUAAAGUUAGACCUACGGUGAGAGAUUUAUUGGAAGAAAAGCCCACAACUGGAAGCAAACCACGACUGAAGACAAGGGAACAGCAACAAGUGAACCAGCCCGAGGACUGAGAGCACCAACUGGAGAGAACCCUUCUGACUCAGGGUUUCCAUCGAUUCAGUCAGGAGAAAGUCUGGAUCUGUGUAUUACUGGAGAACCAUCAGAAAUCGCCCUUGCUCCCCUUCUCCCAUCCGGCUCCAUCUGCUCAAACCCUGCCCAUCUGGUUCAGUCUCUGUCUAGCCUGCAUCCCCCCACCUCAGUGAUAUAUAUCAGCCAUCUUGUUCAGCCACUGUCCAGCCUGUGUCCCAUUGCUGAAAUGAUAUAUUUCAGCAAACUCUCUUUUAAACUUUGUCUUUAUUGUGAAGUUUUGUUUUGCAUGUUUUCCAGGAUUGUUUCUUUUUGAUAGCUGGAGCUACCAGAGGUUUAAUUGAAUGCAGCAUGUGGCAGGG
Mobula hypostoma (lesser devil ray) is the source of this 627-nucleotide long non-coding RNA. RefSeq lists it as uncharacterized. Lineage: Eukaryota; Metazoa; Chordata; Chondrichthyes; Myliobatiformes; Myliobatidae. The transcript is spliced from 3 exons. The record is from RefSeq and is a predicted model, not a curated record.